This 522-nucleotide ribosomal RNA is filed under the name Libellula pulchella (twelve-spotted skimmer). RNAcentral's name for it is "SSU rRNA". It matches the Rfam family "Eukaryotic small subunit ribosomal RNA", at positions 631 to 1126 of the family's 1831-position model. RNAcentral also lists the same sequence under 4 other names. Lineage: Eukaryota; Metazoa; Arthropoda; Insecta; Odonata; Libellulidae. The record is from RNAcentral.
UAGUCGGAGGUGUGUCUCGGACGGUCGGUUCGCCGCUUGUCGGUGCUCAACUGGCCGGUCCGGACGUCCUGCCGGUGGGGCUGUAAAAGGCUCCGUUAUCCUUCUUUGGUCCUCUUCAUUGAGUGCCUUGGUGGGCCGGCACGUUUACUUUGAACAAAUUAGAGUGCUCAAAGCAGGCCGUUGGUCGCCUGAAUACUGUGUGCAUGGAAUAAUAGAAUAGGACCUCGGUUCCAUUUUGUUGGUUUUCAGAACUCGAGGUAAUGAUUAAUAGGGACGGACGGGGGCAUUCGUAUUGCGACGUUAGAGGUGAAAUUCUUGGAUCGUCGCAAGACGAACCGAUGCGAAAGCAUUUGCCAAGAACGUUUUCGUUGAUCAAGAACGAAAGUUAGAGGUUCGAAGGCGAUCAGAUACCGCCCUAGUUCUAACCAUAAACGAUGCCAGCUAGCCAUCCGCCGAAGUUCCUUAUAUGACUCGGCGGGCAGCUUCCGGGAAACCAAAGCUCUUGGGUUCCGGGGGAAGUAU